CCGCCGGCAGCACCCCCGGCUCGCCCCGCAGCCCCCCGCUGGCACGGGACGGGGUCCUGGGGUUAAGGGGCCGAUGCUGCGGAGGACGUGGAUGGCGCUGCCCGGCCGGAGGCGGCAGCAGGAUGGCUGUGAGCACUCAAAGGUGAAGCUGGACCCGUCCGGGCAGCGGGAGUAGCGGCACCCGCAGAGUGCCACGGAUGGCCCGACAACUCUGCAAAUGGUCCUGGCGCAACGCCGUGUACCCUGCCCGUGUGCCUGCCAGUUUAUCCACCCGUGUGCCUGCCACUGUACUCACCACCGUACCCACCCGUGUGCCUGCCAGUGCACCCACCUGUGUAUCCACCCGUGUGCCUGCCACUGUACUCACCACCGUACCCACCCGUGUGCCUGCCAGUGCAAACCCAGCCGUGCAACCCCGCGGGUUACUGGGUGUCUGUGACGAAGGACAGGCUGCACAGCCAGCCCCCAGCCUAGCCCCAGGCCUGCUCCCCGUGACCCACAGAGCCCUACAGCCAGGGCGGAAAAGCCUGGUGCAUCCAGCUGGAGUCCAGCUCUGACCCAGGAGAGAAAAGGAUGGAGUUCUUUUGCUGGCCUAAGCCAGGCUCUCAGGAGACAGAGAGCAAAAAUGAGAAAAGUGAAGAGCAGCAAGGAGGUGAUCCCCUGUAUCAUACCACGUAACUCCAUGGCACUUUGUGGCUUUAGCAUUCUUCAGUGACUCCAGGCUGCAGGACCUUUGCCAACCUUGCUGUGGCUGCCUGAACACGGCUGCAGUGCUGCUGCUCCACAAAAGAUACAAGAACAGACCCAUGUUGUGCUAGAGAUGACACAUCCAGCCCUGCUGCCACCACUGCCAACCUUCUCAGCUGCACUGGGGCUCAGACCUUAGCCAGGCUGUUGCAGACCACGCUGGCAGGAUGAGAGCUGCCACUUCACAGCAGUGUUAGGCAUUAGGGAGCAUUAGGGAGACAUCCCUCUCCUCCUGCAGGGACCCAUUGUUAGCCAUUUCAUGGUAAACACUGUCUUUAUAGCACUGUGCCAGAAUACAGCACAGGCACUGGAGUGGCUGUAUAUCCACUCCUAGAUUCUGACCCCUACGUGUUUUCCACCUUCUGGACACUGAUAGUGCCAGAGUACCAGCCUGGAAUUUAUUUCAUGAAAGUUUAAAUGUCUAGAUGUCAUAUCUCAGUUAUUCUCCCUUUCUAACUUGUGGAUAGCAACACUGUGCUCUUUUGCCUUUUUCAUCUUGGUUUUCUAGAGUGUUUACUCUGGACAUCUACCUACAACUGUAUCAAAGUUCACAAAAAUAAGCAAUACCAGAGCUAUCUAUAUCUUUUGAGCUGCAGAAAGGGAGGAAGGUUCAGCAACUACUAAUACCAGAGUUCAGGGCAAAACUUUCUUCUUCCUGUUUUCCCCCAUGCUUCCUAUCAGUUCCCUAGCCAGCCUCAAGCUAAAACAUAUGUGUUAUAUAUGAGAAAAUACAUAUUGUGUGAUACAAUACACAGUUUUUAGGAAUAUGAUCUCUGGAUGACCACAGCACAUGAGUUCUGCAAGUCAUCA
Zonotrichia albicollis (white-throated sparrow) is the source of this 1557-nucleotide long non-coding RNA. The record is from Ensembl. NCBI's taxonomy places the organism in Eukaryota, Metazoa, Chordata, Aves, Passeriformes, Passerellidae.